RNAcentral lists this transfer RNA (75 nucleotides) under Bacillota bacterium. Its description in RNAcentral is "tRNA-Arg". It matches the Rfam family "tRNA". From Rfam's summary of the family: Transfer RNA (tRNA) molecules are approximately 80 nucleotides in length. Their secondary structure includes four short double-helical elements and three loops (D, anti-codon, and T loops). Lineage: Bacteria; Bacillati; Bacillota. The record is from RNAcentral.
GCCUCUAUAGUUAAAUGGAUAUAACAAACCCCUCCUAAGGGUUAGUUGUAGGUUCGAUUCCUACUAGGGGUGCCA